AUGCACUCACACACGUCUUUAUCAUACCUCCCCUGCAUUCUCUCUAGGCCUGUCGGGGUAGUCUUGUAUUCCUCUCACCUCUCGUCUGUGUGUGUGUGUGUGUCUCUACAGGUAUGUGAUCUCCUACAGGAGCAGCUGUCUCUUCAGUCCCAGCUGAUUUAUGAUGCCCCCAUCAGUGCUGUUGGCUCUCCCAUCUCCGGCCGCUCGUCCAGGGCUCCCAGCCCACCGACAGCCAGCCGGCCCCCCACCUGCUGCUCUCCUUCCCCGGCGAGAGGAGGCAUGUACCGCUCAAGUAUCAGCCUCACCCCUGUCGUCCCUCCGCGCCCUGGAGCGGAGACCCACGAGCACGCACCAACAGACAGCCCAGGUCCGGACACAAGCCAGGGGACCGGGGAACUGCGCCUCCCCCAGGAGCCAAGAGGAGGUGGCACGGCAGGAGGUGGAAAUGCUCAUCUGCAGCAGAUCAUCGCAGAGAUCAAGCAGAACCUUGCUGAGGAGAUCAGGCAGGAGAUUUUGAAUGAGCUGUUGGCUGCCGUGUCGCCACGGCGAUCUCCUGUACCAGCAAGGGAGCCUCCGGCGUGACCUGGACCGUGAGCAGUGCGGUGAGCUUACCUAGCCCACACUGACGUCCUCUCUCCUGUUUGUCCCUGAAGGCAGUCCCAGUGUGCAGGCGGCGUGCAGUUCCCCCACAGGGUGCUUGAGAAACCUGAGCUGCAUCAUGAUGCAUCUAAAUACCUAAAACAAACACCUGUUUAUUUAGGUCUGUUGAUUAUUUAGGUCUGGUGGACUGAUUUAGGUCUGUUUGAUUUAUUUAGGUCUGUCGUUAUUUUGAGUGAGUGGUGGUCUUGCCUAUGCAGCCCAAGACAAGAAGCCAUGACACUGAAGUCUGAGUGAACACCGGUGAAGCCGUGCACUGCAGUCAGCUCAACAGCGCCCCUUGACUCCAUCAGACACUACUGCAGCAAUACUUGCUGCACCCACUCUUGUUCAGCCCGGCACUGCAGUGAGGACAUCAGACCUGACAUCAGUGCUGACCAGGUGUGUCCGCGGAGCUGAACCGGACUCCAUCUGCCAAGCAAACAUCCACCUUCUCCAUCUAGCCCAGUUCUUGGGCUUGUACCCACUACUCCAGUGGCAACAGUGGAUACACCUGCUCCACCCACUACGGGACACACCUGCCCAUCCGGAUACUACUGCCCUGCACCUUCUGUGAUGAGCUUGACUAGAAUAGGCUGCGUCCACCCACCUGCUCUGCCCGACUUCACCUUUUCUCAGUAUCACAGUUUUUGCGUCCUCUUAACAGUUCCAGAAUGACAUUCGGUCCUGCUCCAGGGAAAACUCUUUCCCUGAUCCCAGUUUUCCUGUUCUUAGCACAGGAAUCCCGCACGUUUCUAUGGUACCUUCCUGCCUCGAUGAAAGUUUCCUCCUGUAAUUUCUUGGCUGUAUUUAAGUUGAGUGUCUGUUUGUGUGUUUGGUACGGUGAAUGUGGCCACGCUUGAUUGCGUUGUGGGUGAGGGUGAAAAUGUGUAUGUCUGUGUGUGUCGGGGGUGUAUCCAUAUUGUGUGGGUGUGUCUGUAUGUCACUUUGGGUGCGUGUGGGUGUGUACAAAUAUUCGUGUGUCCUGGCCUGUGCGUAAGCGUGUGUAUUUGUGUGGAUACACGUGUGUGAAAAUCGUCUACUGUAAUCUGUCUUCUAACGCAGCCUCUGUGAGGUACUAACCGUGCAAUACGUUUCACGUUUUCAACUUGAACAGAUCAGUCACAACUGCUGUUUAUACGACUGCCACUUUAUAGAGGGAGAAAAAACUAAAAAAAAUGACAGAUGCCGUUAGAUGUUGUCAAGAGACCUUUACAAAUGCUAUGAGCUCGCCCUGCUCCUGGCUGAGUGACUAGUUCUCUUCUCUCCCCCGUCCUGUAAGAUUGGGCCCUCUCGCUCUCGUUAUUAUUAUUAAAGCAAAACACCCACAACUUGGUCAAGAUUCUAGCAUUUUGAAUCUAAAGAGAACACCUUCCUAAGUCGAGUGUGUUGUGUUUUGUGAAUAGUGUUUGAGGUGUGACGUCCGAACCAGGCUUGUACAGCUUCCUUCUCUGGGGCCUUAAUGAGUUGUAAUACUAAUUGAUUCACAUGACUACAUUUUUAGGGGACAUAAUAACUUCUCAUAUGGAUUGCAUGAGGGAUUUUUCUCUGAUUAAAAAUUUGUCCUUAAUAAAGAUUUAUUUAUUUUGAAUACAUAGAUGACUGUGGUUCAUUUUGUGUUCAGUGGUGGUUUGCUGGCGUUCAUACACUUCUGUUUCCAGGUUCUGGAUUCUGGAAUGUUUGGAUGUUGUGUUGUCAGCAUCCGUAAGAUGGGACAUUGCGGUUCCUGCACAGGUAUGACUGUGCUCAUACAAAAAGGAGGCGUGGUCUUCUCAUCUCUAACAGGCUUGGCACAGAACUGUAACUGAGGCAUACUUACCACCAACGACAGAGCUUUUAAUGCACAAGCUAACAGUGGACAAUAUUUAAGGACCAGAUUUACAGGUUGUGAAGGAAAUAAAUUGUAUUUUU
Long non-coding RNA from Electrophorus electricus (electric eel), 2547 nucleotides. The record is from Ensembl. Lineage: Eukaryota; Metazoa; Chordata; Actinopteri; Gymnotiformes; Gymnotidae.